This 393-nucleotide ribosomal RNA is filed under the name uncultured bacterium. Its description in RNAcentral is "partial 16S ribosomal RNA". It matches the Rfam family "Bacterial small subunit ribosomal RNA", at positions 523 to 918 of the family's 1533-position model. The record is from RNAcentral.
AUAUGGAGGACGCGAGCGUUAUCCGGAUUUAUUGGGUUUAAAGGGAGCGUAGGUGGGAUAUUAAGUCAGCUGUGAAAGUUUGGGGCUCAACCUUAAAAUUGCAGUUGAUACUGGUUUCCUUGAGUACGGUACAGGUGGGCGGAAUUCGUGGUGUAGCGGUGAAAUGCUUAGAUAUCACGAAGAACUCCGAUCGCGAAGGCAGCUCACCGGGCCGGAACUGACACUGAUGCUCGAAAGUGCGGGUAUCAAACAGGAUUAGAUACCCUGGUAGUCCGCACAGUAAACGAUGAAUACUCGCUGUUUGCGAUACACUGUAAGCGGCCAAGCGAAAGCGUUAAGUAUUCCACCUGGGGAGUACGCCGGCAACGGUGAAACUCAAAUGAAUUGACGGGG